CCGGAGUGGACGAACCUCUGGUGUACCGGUUGUCACGCCAGUGGCAUCGCCGGGUAGCUAUGUUCGGAAGAGAUAACCGCUGAAAGCAUCUAAGCGGGAAACUCGCCUUAAGAUGAGAUAUCCCUGGGGACUAGAUCCCCUUGAAGGGUCGUUCGAGACCAGGACGUUGAUAGGUCGGGUGUGUAAGCGCAGUAAUGCGUUCAGCUAACCGAUACUAAUUGCCCGUAAGGCUUGAUCCUAUAACA
Molecule: ribosomal RNA, 245 nt
Filed under: Burkholderia anthina
Lineage: Bacteria; Pseudomonadati; Pseudomonadota; Betaproteobacteria; Burkholderiales; Burkholderiaceae
Also listed under: 1 other name
Description: partial 23S ribosomal RNA
Rfam family: Bacterial large subunit ribosomal RNA
Source: RNAcentral